GAGGGUAUAGAUCAGUGUAGAAUGUGUGCUUAGCAUGCAUGAGGUCUUGGGUUCAAUCCCCAAUACCUCCA
This 71-nucleotide transfer RNA is filed under the name Camelus ferus (Wild Bactrian camel). It matches the Rfam family "tRNA". Rfam says of the family: Transfer RNA (tRNA) molecules are approximately 80 nucleotides in length. The record is from Rfam by way of RNAcentral. Lineage: Eukaryota; Metazoa; Chordata; Mammalia; Artiodactyla; Camelidae.